GCUUAGCCCCGAUGGAAACGGCAUCCUUUUUAUGCUGAAUUUAUUUCAGGAGAAAAAGAUACAGUGAACAGCGGGAAAAUUA
Molecule: small RNA, 82 nt
Filed under: Flavobacterium weaverense
Lineage: Bacteria; Pseudomonadati; Bacteroidota; Flavobacteriia; Flavobacteriales; Flavobacteriaceae
Description: Flavo-1 RNA
Rfam family: Flavo-1 RNA
Source: RNAcentral